CACGGAGUUAGCCGGUGCUUCCUUUGGAGGUACCGCCACUCGCCUUGCGGCGCAUUCGUCCCUCCCGACAGUGGUUUACAACCCGAAGGCCGUCAUCCCACACGCGGCGUCGCUGCGUCAGGCUUUCGCCCAUUGCGCAAUAUUCCCCACUGCUGCCUCCCGUAGGAGUCUGGGCCGUGUCUCAGUCCCAAUGUGGCUGGCCAUCCUCUCAGACCAGCUACCCGUCGUCGCCUUGGUGAGCCGUUACCCCACCAACUAGCUGAUAGGCCGCGAGGCACUCUUUCGGCGCAUUGCUGCUUUCACCAACCGAGGAUGUCCCCGAAUGGUCGUACGCGGUAUUACCCGGCCGUUGGGCCGGCUAUCCCCCGCGAAAGUCAUGUUCCUCACGUGUUACGCACCCGUCCGCCACUGAACUGGAGUUCGCCCCCAGUCCCCGUUCGACUUGCAGUGUGUUAGCACGCCGCCAGCCGUUCGUCCUGAGCCAGGACUCGAAAACCUCUCCUGACGACGUGCCGAAGGGA
Molecule: ribosomal RNA, 521 nt
Filed under: uncultured Gemmatimonas sp.
Lineage: Bacteria; Pseudomonadati; Gemmatimonadota; Gemmatimonadia; Gemmatimonadales; Gemmatimonadaceae
Description: partial 16S ribosomal RNA
Source: RNAcentral